CCACACGACUCUCGGCAACGGAUAUCUCGGCUCUCGCAUCGAUGAAGAACGUAGCGAAAUGCGAUACYUGGUGUGAAUUGCAGAAUCCCGCGAACCAUCGAGUCUUUGAACGCAAGUUGCGCCCGACGCCACCCGGCUGAGGGCACGCCUGCCUGGGCGUCACGC
Molecule: ribosomal RNA, 165 nt
Filed under: Stipellula parviflora
Lineage: Eukaryota; Viridiplantae; Streptophyta; Magnoliopsida; Poales; Poaceae
Also listed under: 1 other name
Description: Stipa parviflora 5.8S ribosomal RNA
Rfam family: 5.8S ribosomal RNA
About the family: 5.8S ribosomal RNA (5.8S rRNA) is a component of the large subunit of the eukaryotic ribosome. It is transcribed by RNA polymerase I as part of the 45S precursor that also contains 18S and 28S rRNA.
Source: RNAcentral